GAUGAACGCUGGCGGUAUGCUUAACACAUGCAAGUCGAACGGACUCUUCGGAGUUAGUGGCGGACGGGUGAGUAACGCGUGAGAAUCUGGCUUUGGGUUCGGGACAACCACUGGAAACGGUGGCUAAUACCGGAUGUGCCGAGAGGUAAAAGAGAAAUUGCCUGAAGAUGAGCUCGCGUCUGAUUAGCUAGUUGGUGAGGUAAAGGCUCACCAAGGCAGCGAUCAGUAGCUGGUCUGAGGGGAUGACCAGCCACACUGGGACUGAGACACGGCCCAGACUCCUGCGGGAGGCAGCAGUGGGGAAUUUUCCGCAAUGGGCGAAAGCCUGACAGAGCAAUACCGCGUGAGAGAAGAAGGCUCUUGGGUUGUAAACCUCUUUUCUUAGGGAAGAACAAAAUGACGGUACCUAAGGAAUCAGCAUCGGCUAACUCCGUG
RNAcentral lists this ribosomal RNA (435 nucleotides) under uncultured bacterium. RNAcentral's name for it is "partial 16S ribosomal RNA". It matches the Rfam family "Bacterial small subunit ribosomal RNA", at positions 28 to 507 of the family's 1533-position model. The record is from RNAcentral.